This is a long non-coding RNA of Xenopus tropicalis (tropical clawed frog), 2177 nucleotides long. RefSeq lists it as uncharacterized. The record is from RefSeq and is a predicted model, not a curated record. NCBI's taxonomy places the organism in Eukaryota, Metazoa, Chordata, Amphibia, Anura, Pipidae. The transcript is spliced from 3 exons.
GGCACCCCCAAGUGACUUUGCCUUUCCUUGUCCUUUAAGUAUUUAUAUUGAAUGGCAACUAUGUUAUUUACACUAUGUAUAAUAUUUUAUUGAAUGAAACACUGGUUUUAUGAUGUAAUCAUUUAUAUAUUAUAAUUAUACAUAUGCACUGUUGAAGGUCAGAGAUUGGCCCUUUUGAAUUUGCACAUUCACGAGUGCAUUGGAUAAUUACAUAAUGGUCUGAUGAUAGGAAUUGGGCAUAUUUCCAAUUGGUUUGCUUUGAGAGUGUAUUUAAAGUUGGUUUGAACACUAUUGUUUUAUCCUUGAGAAGGUUCUAUUGAAGCCCGAAACGUCGGAUUCUUUUAAAACAAUAUGUCUAAAAUAAGUUUAUGAUGAUUUUAAAGGGUGUACAGGUCACAGAAUAUUUAUUGCUGAAUACUUAUAUAUAUGAUAUUUGUGUUACUGCAACCUCUGCAAGUGCCAGCCUUUGGUUCUAGUACUGCACAGUGUUUGGGCAGCAAGCUGCUCAGCCUUCUUUUGGAUCAUCUGCUGCACCCAGUGCUGGAUCUGGCUUCCAGUUUGGCAACAACGCAAACUUCAACUUUAUCAGCACAAAUUUGUCGGGGAGAGUGUUCACUUUUGGUGCAAAUGCUGGAUCCACCCCCCAGCCACCUGCCCCAGGCUUUAUGUUUAAUGCAGCUGCUUCAGGUUUCAAUGUGGGGAAAAGCGUGUUAAAUUAUGCCAAUAAAUCAUGCCCAGUAGUGUUCAGUUUUGAAGGCUGCUGGCCUCUAGGCAGAAAAUGUAGGCUCUUACAUUGAAGCACAACUUUAUUCUGUCCACCUAGUUUUUUUUUUUUUUUUUUUUUAAAUCAUUCUUUAAAUGUCAUGCUAAAUAUUUGACCUUUUGCGUCAAGUACACUGUUUGUUACAAUAACUAACUUGGAAUGGAAUUAUUUUUGUUAUCUAGUCUUUUGGCAGUAGGACUAGUUAGAAAAAAAUGCUCCUAUUCAAGCAUGGGAGCAUUUUAUAAAAGGUGGCACCCCCACUUUCAGUUUGUAUUUCUUACAGGCCUGAAUUUUAAUGUAAGUGUAUGUCUGCUGCACAGUUACCUAUCAAAGUAAAGUAUUUCAUUUGGCAGAACUUUUCUUAAUUCCUUUAUUCUCUCCAUGUUAUUGCUUUAUUUAGGCUUCUAACAUUUUGUUUUUAUUUGCAAACAGCUUCUCUUACCCAAAAUUCAGCACUCCGGCAUCCAGUGGAUAGUUAUCAGGAGGUGGUGGCAAAAUGAUGAGAGAGAAAGGCUCUCAUUACUCAACAAAGCCAGCUGAGGAGCUUUGAGAUGUUCCUGGUGCAUGAACAGAAAAAUUUGGUGUCCGAACAUAUGCUUACCGGAUCCCACUAGCUUAAUGGAACAGUAACAGUAAAAAAUGUUAUUAAAAAAAUUAAAACUACACCCUCUAAAUAAUGCCCAUGUCCAGCUGCAUUGUACAUAUUUACCUUCCAUUUAGCCAAAAAAUCUUCAGUAAAACACCUCUCCACACUAUGGACACAAUUUUGAAGAAAGGCGGUAUGGCGACUAGCCCCUCAAUACGUGCGCACCCCAACAUCACUCCUCCUAACAGGAUAUCUGGCUGUAACCCGGAAGUUCAGUAUCACCGUGAAGAGGAGGAAUUGUUUUCAAAGACUGGGGGAGAAACACUCUGCUGGAACAUUUGGAGGAAAGAAACACUGCUGGAAUGGCUAGAGGAGAGAGAUGCUGCUGGAAUGCCUGGGGGGGAUAGACAUGCUGAGGAAAUAACCAGUGCAGGGAAGAACCUGGGUUAGAGGUGUGCGAAGGGGCAGGGACUUUGUGGGAAACACACUGGGGGGAUGGCUGUUGAAGGGAAAUGUUGGGUUAGAGGUAUGUGUGAAGGGGCUUUGUGAGAGACAUGCUGGGGGGAAACGCUAGGUAAGAGGUAUGCGAAGGGGAAGAGGCUUUGUGGGAGACACGCUAGGAUGGAUGGUGAAGGGAAGCCGGUUGCUUGUAACUUAGCCAGUUGCUAAGCGACGUCACUUCCGGAAGUGACAUCAUGGAGGCAGGAUUUUCAAAUCAAAACCAGGAAGAAGCUAACGGCAGCGUGCACGUAGGGGAGAAGAAGCUUUCAGGCCCUGCAAGAUGGCGGAGACCCUAUAUACUGCACGGAAAAGCGGCGAUUGGGAUUU